AUGGAAGCCAAGUUCUUUCGGUUCCUGAAGCUUGUUGGAGUUGGCUUCAAAGCCAGGACAGAGCGCGAAGGCCGCGAGUUGUUUCUGAAACUGGGCUACAGCCAUGAGGUGCAGUUCACCGCUCCACCUGCCGUCCGCGUCUUCUGCUUCAAGCCCAACAUAAUAUGCUGUACUGGCAUUGACAAGCAUAGAGUGCACCAUUUCGCUGGAGCUGUCCGAUGCAGUAAACCUCCAGAAGUGUACAAGGGGAAGGGCAUACUGUACAUCGACGAGGUCAUAAAGCUGAAGCCGGGGAAGAAACAGCAGAAGAAGUAA
Molecule: ribosomal RNA, 315 nt
Filed under: Triticum aestivum (bread wheat)
Lineage: Eukaryota; Viridiplantae; Streptophyta; Magnoliopsida; Poales; Poaceae
Description: partial small subunit ribosomal RNA
Source: RNAcentral